This 266-nucleotide ribosomal RNA is filed under the name uncultured bacterium. RNAcentral describes it as "partial 16S ribosomal RNA". It matches the Rfam family "Bacterial small subunit ribosomal RNA", at positions 92 to 354 of the family's 1533-position model. The record is from RNAcentral.
CGACCGGCGCACGGGUGAGUAACGCGUAUGCGACCUGCCCGUUGCGGGGGGAUAAUCGGGAGAAAUCCCGUCUAAUACCGCGUAACGCCGCGGGGCUGCAUGGCCCUGCGGCCAAAGGGAGCGAUUCCGGCAACGGAUGGGCAUGCGUGACAUUAGCUAGUUGGCGGGGCAACGGCCCACCAAGGCGACGAUGUCUAGGGGUUCUGAGAGGAAGGUCCCCCACACUGGUACUGAGACACGGACCAGACUCCUACGGAAGGCAGCAG